AACGAACGCUGGCGGCAUGCCUAACACAUGCAAGUCGAACGAGACCUUCGGGUUUGGUGGCUCACGGGGUCGUAACGGGUGGGAAAAUGCGUUGAGGAUCGGAAUAAUACCCUGAGAUGGGUGUUGGUAACGGGUACUGAUUCUGGAUCAAAGAUUUAUCGCGGUUGGAUGGUGCAGCGUUGGGUUUGGGAGAUGGUUGGGUAAGAGGCUACCAAGGUUACGAUUGGGAGCUGGUCUGAGAGGAUGGUCGGCCACACUGGGACUGGGGCACGGCCCAGGCUCGUACGGGAUGGAGCAGUGUGCAAUAUUGGACAAUGGGCGAAAGACUGAUCCAGCAAUGCCGCGUGAGUGAUGAAGGCCUUAAGGUUCUAAAGCUCAUGUACACGCGAUUAUAAUGACAGUACCGGGAGAAUAAGCACCGGCUAACUCCGUG
This 433-nucleotide ribosomal RNA is filed under the name uncultured bacterium. RNAcentral describes it as "partial 16S ribosomal RNA". It matches the Rfam family "Bacterial small subunit ribosomal RNA", at positions 29 to 507 of the family's 1533-position model. The record is from RNAcentral.